This 466-nucleotide ribosomal RNA is filed under the name uncultured bacterium. RNAcentral's name for it is "partial 16S ribosomal RNA". It matches the Rfam family "Bacterial small subunit ribosomal RNA", at positions 28 to 507 of the family's 1533-position model. The record is from RNAcentral.
GAUGAACGCUGGCGGCGUGCUUAACACAUGCAAGUCGAACGAUGAAGCCCAGCUUGCUGGGUGGAUUAGUGGCGAACGGGUGAGUAACACGUGAGUAACCUGCCCUUGACUCUGGGAUAAGCCUGGUAAACUGGGUCUAAUACUGGAUAUGACUUCUCAUCGCAUGGUGGGGGGUGGAAAGAUUUAUUGGUCUUGGAUGGACUCGCGGCCUAUCAGCUUGUUGGUGAGGUAAUGGCUCACCAAGGCGACGACGGGUAGCCGGCCUGGGAGGGUGACCGGCCACACGGGGACUGAGACACGGCCCAGAAUCCUACGGGAGGCAACGGGGGGGAAUAUUACACAAUGGGCGCAAGCCUGAGACAGCGACGCCGCGUGAGGGAAGACGGCCUUCGGGUUGUAAACCUCUUUCAGUAGGGAAGAAGCGAGAGUGACGGUACCUGCAGAAGAAGCGCCGGCUAACUACGUG